UCAAAAUUAUGAUGUUGGUCAAAGUGGU
This 28-nucleotide non-coding RNA is filed under the name Bombyx mori (domestic silkworm). The record is from RNAcentral. Lineage: Eukaryota; Metazoa; Arthropoda; Insecta; Lepidoptera; Bombycidae.